This 250-nucleotide ribosomal RNA is filed under the name uncultured prokaryote. Its description in RNAcentral is "partial 16S ribosomal RNA". It matches the Rfam family "Bacterial small subunit ribosomal RNA", at positions 524 to 774 of the family's 1533-position model. The record is from RNAcentral.
UACGUAGGGGGCGAGCGUUGUCCGGAACUACUGGGCGUAAAGAGUACGUAGGCGGUUCGAUAAGCGCAUGGUGAAAGGCAUCGGCUUAACCAGUGUCAGUCGUGCGAACUGUCGGACUUGAGUGCGGGAGAGGAAAGCGGAAUUCCUGGUGUAGCGGUGAAAUGCGUAGAGGUCAGGAGGAACACCGGUGGCGAAGGCGGCCUUCUGGACCGUAACUGACGCUGAGGUACGAAAGCGUGGGGAGCAAACA